GAUGAAGAACGCAGCGAAAUGCGAUAAGUAAUGUGAAUUGCAGAAUUCAGUGAAACAUCGAAUCUUUGAACGCACAUUGCGCCCGCCAGUAUUCUGGCGGGCAUGCCUGUUCGAGCGUCAUUACAACCCUCAGGCCCCCGGGCCUGGCGUUGGGGAUCGGCGGAAGCCCCCUGUGGGCACACGCCGUCCCUCAAAUACAGUGGCGGUCCCGCCGCAGCUUCCAUUGCGUAGUAGCUAACACCUCGCAACUGGAGAGCGGCGCGGCCAUGCCGUAAAACACCCAACUUCUGAAUGUUGACCUCGAAUCAGGUAGGAAUACCCGCUGAACUUAAGAAUAUCAAUAAGCGGAGGA
This 352-nucleotide unclassified non-coding RNA is filed under the name soil metagenome. Its description in RNAcentral is "partial contains 5.8S ribosomal RNA, internal transcribed spacer 2, and large subunit ribosomal RNA". The stretch from base 1 to 120 matches the Rfam family "5.8S ribosomal RNA", at positions 35 to 154 of the family's 154-position model. The record is from RNAcentral.